AUGACCACGGAGCAAGCAAUUUAUCUCGUCUUGGCUCUCCUCCUGCCUCUCCUGCUCCUCAAGUUCAUCAGGAAGCGCGGCCACGGCGCUGGGCAGCAGCUGCCGCCUGGCCCUUGGCGGCUACCGGUCAUCGGCAGCCUGCACCACAUCACCGGCAACCCACUAGUCCACCGUGCCUUCGCGGACAUCGCGCGCCGGCUGGGCGACGCGCCGCUAGUAUACCUCAAGCUCGGCGAGGUGCCGGUGGUGGUGGCCUCUUCUACCGAGGCCGCGCGCGAGGUCAUGAAGACGCAGGACGUCACGUUUGCGACGCGGCCGUGGAGCCCCACCACCAAGAUCAUCAUGUCCGAUGGGGUCGGGCUGGCGUUCGCGCCCUACGGCGCUCACUGGCGCCAGCUCCGCAAGAUCUGCAUCAUGGAGCUGCUCAGCGCCCGCCGGGUGCAGUCGUUCCGCAACGUCUGGGAGGAGGAGGUGACGCGCCUCGUCGCCGUCAUUUCAGCUAGUACCGGCGAGCCCAUCAACGUCAGCAAGCGGCUCGCCAUGCUCAUCGCAGACAUGACCUUGCGCGCCAUGAUCGGGGACAGGUUCAGCAAGCGGGAAGAAUUCCUGGAGGUGCUCCAACAGGGGGUCAAGAUCCUUUCGGGGUUUAACCUCGGCGACCUCUUCCCCUCAUCCUGGCUCGUCGGCUUCGUUAGCGGCUCCGCCCGACAGGCGUGGGAGAAUCACACCAAGGCCUUCGAGCUCAUCGACUGCGCCAUCAAGCAGCACGAGGAGGUGAAGGCCGCCGCCGCCGCGUCCAACGGCGGCGGGAAGGAAGGGGAGCAGGAGGACCUAUUGGACGUGCUCCUCAGGAUACAGAAGGAAGGCGGCCACGACGUCCCUUUCACCAUGGGAGCCAUCAAGUGUCUAUUAGUGGACCUGUUUAGUGCUGGGAGCGAGACGUCGGCGACGACUCUCAUCUGGGCCAUGUCAGAGUUGAUGAGGAACCCAACCACCAUGGCAAAAGCACAAGCCGAAGUACGUAACCACCUACAAGGAAAGCCAAGCGUAACUGAGGACGACCUGGCUGACCUCAAGUACAUGAGGCUGGUCAUCAAGGAGACGCUCAGGCUGCAUCCGUCGGUGCCCCUACUGCUGCCGCGCGAGCCCACCGAGGCGUGCAAGGUCCUCGGCUACGACAUGCCGACGGGCACCACCGUGUUUGUGAACACGUGGGCGAUCUGCCGAGACCCCAAGCACUGGGAUGCCCCAGAGGAGUUCAGGCCGGAGCGGUUCGAGUCGGGCGAAGUGGACUUCAAGGGAACCAACUUCGAGUACACACCGUUCGGGGCAGGCCGAAGGAUCUGUCCGGGGAUGCUGUUCGCGCAGUCUAGCAUGGAGCUGGCCCUUGCUGCCCUCCUCUACCACUUUGAUUGGGAGCUUCCUGCCGGAGGGGAGUUGGAUAUGGAGGAGGAGAUGGGCAUCGCCGUCGGCCCGAAGAACGACCUGUAUCUGUAUGCCAAAGUCGUCGUGCUGCUUAAUUAA
RNAcentral lists this ribosomal RNA (1524 nucleotides) under Triticum aestivum (bread wheat). RNAcentral's name for it is "partial small subunit ribosomal RNA". Lineage: Eukaryota; Viridiplantae; Streptophyta; Magnoliopsida; Poales; Poaceae. The record is from RNAcentral.